Molecule: long non-coding RNA, 908 nt
Organism: Syngnathus acus (greater pipefish)
Lineage: Eukaryota; Metazoa; Chordata; Actinopteri; Syngnathiformes; Syngnathidae
Exons: 3
Source: RefSeq, a predicted model, not a curated record
GGAGCGUUUGGUAGUCCCAUGGUCUCUCCUUUUUGGACCAGGAGAGGCAGAGGAGGUUGGACGAGGACUUUGGCUCAGCUCAGAAUCUGCAACAACAAGAACACUGGACCUUAUUCAAUAUGUUUGCUCAGUGUGGCCUACCAGAGUCAUUGGAGAGGCUGACUGUGUGGCAGCAGUGCACGUGACUCAAAGGAGAGUAGGUUUUUGGCAGACUACUGCACGUCGGAACCUGUCGAGACACAACGCAGGAGAACGGAUCACAGAUCAUCACGUUGACAUUUCUCCUGGACGUGUGGGAAUAAAGCAACAAAAUACGGAAUAGAGGGAGGCUCUCUGUCUCCUUCUUGAAGUAGAACGGUCCGAGCUGGAAGUGUCUCAGCCUUUGCUCAGCAUCCAGGGAGAGCUGGCACAUUUUUCGAUGGGUGUAAGGUGACAGUGCCCGAGUCGUGGAGGCAACAGUGGGCCUCUGGUAGCCUGGCUCUUGACAACCUCUGUGUUUUCGUGGUUUUGCUUCACAGGAAAUAUGGCGGCACGGGGAGGGGGAGCGUCUGCAUGUGGACCAUCCUACAUAAUUUGGAGACCUCCUUGCCAUAGAUGAAAAUGGCCUCAAUUGAACGAGGCUGGCCAUCUGUGAGGACAAAAAUACAAUUCAUUCAGCUUUCUAACAACCGCUGAAUUAUCACAACUCUAAUGGCCUCUAACUUCAACUUCCUGUCUGUAAUGGCAUCUGGGAUAAAUAAGAUUAGAUCAAAUAUUCAUUCUAGUCUAAUACAAUAAAACAAAAGCAUUUAGGGAGCCAAAUUGCUAUUCAGGGAAAUCGUAUCACACUAAAACUAUUUCUAAGAGAACGAUGAACGAUUGGACGCUGAUGCUGCCAAUUCAUUAAAGCUUGAUUGAACUGAAUCAAA